Molecule: ribosomal RNA, 274 nt
Filed under: Eudoraea sp.
Lineage: Bacteria; Pseudomonadati; Bacteroidota; Flavobacteriia; Flavobacteriales; Flavobacteriaceae
Description: partial 23S ribosomal RNA
Rfam family: Bacterial large subunit ribosomal RNA
Source: RNAcentral
CUAUCUACUGCGGGCGUUAGAAAUUUGAGUGGCCCUGACCCUAGUACGAGAGGACCGGGUCGGACUGACCGCUGGUGUACCGGUUGUCUCGCCAGAGGCAUUGCCGGGUAGCUACGUCGGGAUGGGAUAAGCGCUGAAAGCAUAUAAGCGCGAAACCCGCCACAAGAUGAGAUUUCUUUAAAGGGCCGUGGGAGAUGACCACGUUGAUAGGCCACAGGUGCAAGUGCUGCAAAGUACGCAGCCGAGUGGUACUAAUAGUCCGUUAGGCUUGCGC